CAGGCUACUCCUAAUUUCCUCCAACAAAUCUGAGAACAGAGUCAGUUUCCCUGAGCACAUUAGGAUGGUAAAUGAUGCCACCUGUGGAUA
Myotis brandtii (Brandt's bat) is the source of this 90-nucleotide long non-coding RNA. RefSeq lists it as uncharacterized. The transcript has 3 exons. Lineage: Eukaryota; Metazoa; Chordata; Mammalia; Chiroptera; Vespertilionidae. The record is from RefSeq and is a predicted model, not a curated record.